GAGUUUGAUCAUGGCUCAGAACGUACGCUGGCGGCACGCCUAACACAUGCAAGUCGAACGCAGUAGCAAUACUGAGUGGCAAACGGGUGAGUAUAAUGUGGGAAUUUGCCUUUUGGUUUGGAAUAACACGGGGAAACUUGUGCUAAUACCGAAUAAGCCCUUACGGGGAAAGUUUUAGCGCCGAAAGAUGAGCCUGCACUUGAUUAGCUAGUUGGUAAGGUAAAAGCUUACCAAGGCAACGAUCAAUAGCUGUUCUUAGAGGAAGACCAGCCACAUUGGGACUGAGACACGGCCCAGACUCCUACGGGAGGCAGCAGUGGGGAAUCUUGCACAAUGGGGGAAACCCUGAUGCAGCGAUGCCGCGUGAGUGAAGAAGGCCUUUGGGUUGUAAAACUCUUUCGUCGGGGAAGAAAAUGACUGUACCCGAAUAAGAAGGUCCGGCUAACUUCGUGCCAGCAGCCGCGGUAAUACGAAGGGACCUAGCGUAGUUCGGAAUUACUGGGCUUAAAGAGCUCGUAGGUGGUUAAAAAAGUUGAUGGUGAAAUCCCAAGGCUCAACCUUGGAACUGCCAUCAAAACUUUUUAGCUAGAGUGUGAUAGAGGUAAGUGGAAUUUCUAGUGUAGAGGUGAAAUUCGUAGAUAUUAGAAAGAACACCAAAUGCGAAGGCAACUUACUGGGUCACUACUGACACUGAGGAGCGAAAGCAUGGGUAGCGAAGAGGAUUAGAUACCCUCGUAGUCCAUGCCGUAAACGAUGUGUGCUAGACGUUGGAAAUAUAUUUUUCAGUGUCGCAGCGAAAGCAUUAAGCACACCGCCUGGGGAGUACGACCGCAAGGUUAAAACUCAAAUGAAUUGACGGGGACCCGCUCAAGCAGUGGAGCAUGUGGGUUUAAUUCGAAGAUACGCGCAGAACCUUACCACACUUGACAUGUUCGUCGCGAGACUAAGAGAUAGUCUUUUCAGUUCGNCUGGACGAAAACACNGNGCUGCAUGGCUGUCGUCAGCUCG
Molecule: ribosomal RNA, 1008 nt
Filed under: uncultured bacterium
Lineage: Bacteria
Description: bacterial SSU rRNA
Rfam family: Bacterial small subunit ribosomal RNA
Source: RNAcentral